Molecule: long non-coding RNA, 500 nt
Organism: Myotis daubentonii (Daubenton's bat)
Lineage: Eukaryota; Metazoa; Chordata; Mammalia; Chiroptera; Vespertilionidae
Source: RefSeq, a predicted model, not a curated record
CAGGUCAGAGAGAAGGAAAUACUUUUCUGGGACCUGACUGGCAUGCCAACAAUAUCAGUCUAGCAAUCUAUACCCGAAAUUGCCGGAAGCCGACACACACACACACAUCCAUCCAGCUCUGCUCCUUUCUCUACCAUUACUAUAUUCUCAAGUAGUCAAGUACUAAGCAAACCCAGACAAGAAGGGAAUUAUGAAAAACCAGCUCAUUACAAAACAUCAAAAGGCAGUUUAAUGAUACAUGAAAGAGGUCCAACGCAAUGACCCAGAAACAGGUUUUCUACGCUCUAAAAUGCCAAGAAAAACAAUGCAACACACCCCCCCCACACACACACACACACACUCUCUCUCUCUCUUUAAAUCAAUUCUAUCAUGUGGCCUAGCCCCAAAUUAAAAAACUGAUCGCUGAUUUCCAAAAUAUCACUCUUGUACCUUCUUUCAAAUCCCCUACUUCACCAAACAAGUGAAAAAACUUUCUGGACACUAGUUUUACCUGUUGGGGG